ACGUCAGUUUUACUAUACACAGUGGCCGCCUUGAGCUGGUUAGUUUGUUGCUGGGAUGCGUAAGCGCGACGGCCAUCUUUAAUGUGGCGGCUUCGAUUUCCAUCCUCACUAAGGUCGUGUUUGGAGUCUAUCCCAGUUAUUAUUGGGCAAGAGGUGGUCAACCUCACAUUCACACUUGGGGACAACUUAGAAUUUUCAAUGAAUCUCAAAUGUACGUUUAUGGAAUGUGCAGGCAGAGUACCUGAAGAAACCCCACGCAGCACGCGGAGAACAAACACAAUCCACACAGGAGGUGUGGAGUGCGCAUGCUGAAGACCAGAAAUUAACACUGCAGUAUGGUAAACCGUUUGAGCAUGCAUUCAAUAUCUCUGAUGUCUACCUUAAGGUCAAUGUAUUAAUUACGCUGUCCGGCCUCACGAGCAGGACAUUUCAGUGCACCUACUACAACUUGGGUUCACGACUUGCAGUGUUUACAACCUUUAUUAAGCUAAGGUACAUAAUAUUCCCUUUGAAAAUUUCUCACAUUACACCACUGAACAAAAAUGUCACAAGUGGAUUCACCAAUGUAUUAUUUACCUUUUGUGAACCAGUGGAAGAGCAUUUAAUUGUUCUACCUGUCAUCAUACAUUGCGGAGAUAUUCACUAGAACUAACCGAGAACAAUUUUAAGUAACCUUGUUACUAGGACGUCAUUGUUCUACAAGCCCGCUGAUUUGUCUUACCAGUGAGCAUGUUACAUAUUUAUAAGACAUUUCACCAUGAUGGUACACAUACUUUGGAUGGCAACAACAGGAGCUUUCACUGACAGCAGCAAUGUCACAGUAAAAAUACCUUACAAGUCAUUUCACCAAGUCAGAGAUGAUGAAUUCAGUCUCAAUUAUCAGGCAGGCUUACUAUCACAUCCGUGCAAUUACACCCUCUGGGGUAGGCCUAUAUCUGGUGGUGAGACCUCAAGCCUAUAUCUGUCAUUCUUUAGUACACUUACAAGCACCAAAAGAAUGUCACCUUCAACAUGGCAGCGACGUUUACGUAUGAUUCUGCGCCACGGCGAAAUCUAUUUAACUUACGCUCUAUGUUUAGCGUUAGCCACUGAAAUGUCAGCUGACAUACUCCAGAGUGGAACUUUAAAGAUGGCUACGGCACAGAUUAACUGUAAGUGUCAACUUGUACUCUCAUUUAAUGAGCGUUGUCUUGAUGCUGCUGUCGAAUAAUAUCCUCGAGUUGCCACCGUGUCGAGUGAUUUAACGGACGCUUUUCAACCGACGGCUCCAUCUAUGGCUAACCAGGAACGAGUGUGUGAGCAGCGCGACGUGGACUCACAGAGGAGGUCUUGCAAGUGCACGCGCCCUGGCCUCUUCAAAGGGGGAGAAAAAAACUAACAAACACGCAUUUCAUUCAUUGGUUCUUCACCUAUUUGUUUUUGGGUCAACUGUAUUUCAGGCCGCAUGGAAAAUAAAGUUAUGUAUACCGACAGUGUUCCUAAAAUGCAAUUUCGUUUCCAUAAUAGCCUGUCAUAUCUGAACCUUUUUGGUAAACAAGAAAACACUACAGCAACAAUAACAAAUUAAGCACCGCCCUCCUACCAUCACCCCCCACCCAUUAAAAAAAUCCAGGGUUCUCGAUUCAGUCUUUGCUGAUUUCCCCGACCUGUAAGACUGAGAGAGACAUCAAGAAAAUACACAACUUUGAACAUUUGCGGUUUACGUUGCUAUUGUGACAGUCCGGUAAAAAUGACUUUGGCAAAAAUGCUAUGAGGCUAACAAUAUUGAAUGACUUGUGAAAUAAAAUCGUAACCACCAUAACUGUUCAUGAAUACGAAUUCAAAUUUGAUUAAAAAGCGUUUUUUUUUGAUGAGAUAUUGCGACGGGGCUUUUAAUUUCAGGACAACUGUCGUUAAAAACAUUUAGCAUCUUGUAAAAGCCUGUCUACCGGAAAACAUCAUAACCACAAUAACUGUUCACAGGUUCAAAUUAAAGUUAAAAAAAAAAACAUUGGACUACGAUAAAUAUCAACAAAAUAUUUUACUUACCAUUGAUUAUUCUUCGAUCAGACGGAAACCGACUGGCGCGAGACACACUUGGGACUCGAAGGGCCCUGAUUUGGUGAUUUAUCGGGGAAUGGGACCAGUUGAAAAUCCGAAAUUAUUCAUUCUAAAUCACUUUUCAAAUGACAUGGAUAACAUUAACCGAGUAGCACAAUUGCCAAAGUCAGUUUUUGAGCUUUUUUUUUUUUUUUUGAAAACAAGAAACAACACCUGUGAUUUUAUUUGGACGUGGCUGAGCAAGCAAGCAAGCGCGCACGCACAAUGAUCUUUUCUUUUCGUGUUGAUAUUGUGACCGUUAAAAAUGACACGAGCGGGAAUGCUAAAUGCUUAAGACGGAAGGUAAGUGGAAUUUAACCGAUUUUACAUAUGCGCAUGUCGGUUUAUUUUCAGUCCAAUUUGAUGUAUACCCAUGACCUAUUUGUGUUUAUUUUCAGACUGAAAAAUAUGUCCUUAUUGCAAGGAUGCAUAAAAUAAAUAUCUACAGUGAAAUACGUAUUCAUUCGCAUAGCGUCAAAGAAGGCAAGCCUCUGAUAUCAUAUUGUGGGUUGUACAAAA
This is a long non-coding RNA of Hippocampus comes (tiger tail seahorse), 2598 nucleotides long. RefSeq lists it as uncharacterized. The transcript has 2 exons. NCBI's taxonomy places the organism in Eukaryota, Metazoa, Chordata, Actinopteri, Syngnathiformes, Syngnathidae. The record is from RefSeq and is a predicted model, not a curated record.